RNAcentral lists this ribosomal RNA (460 nucleotides) under uncultured bacterium. RNAcentral's name for it is "partial 16S ribosomal RNA". It matches the Rfam family "Bacterial small subunit ribosomal RNA", at positions 338 to 795 of the family's 1533-position model. The record is from RNAcentral.
CCUACGGGGUGCAGCAGUGAGGAAUAUUGGUCAAUGGACGAGAGUCUGAACCAGCCAAGUAGCGUGAAGGAUGACUGCCCUAUGGGUUGUAAACUUCUUUUAUAAAGGAAUAAAACGAGGCACGUGUGCCUUUUUGCAUGUACUUUAUGAAUAAGGAUCGGCUAACUCCGUGCCAGCCGCCGCGGUAAUACGGAGGAUCCGAGCGUUAUCCGGAUUUAUUGGGUUUAAAGGGAGCGUAGAUGGGUUGUUAAGUCAGUUGUGAAAGUUUGCGGCUCAACCGUAAAAUUGCCAUUGAUACUGGCAGUCUUGAGUGCAGUUGAGGUAGGCGGAAUUCGUGGUGUAGCGGUGAAAUGCUUAGAUAUCACGAAGAACCCCGAUUGCGAAGGCAGCUUACUAAACUGUGACUGACAUUGAUGCUCGAAAGUGUGGGUAUCAAACAGGAUUAGAUACCCCUGUAGUC